GUGGUGCAAUCUCGGUUCACUGCAACCUCCGCCUCCCGGGUUCAAGUGAUUCUCCUGCCUCAGCCUCCCGAGUAGCUGGGAUUACAGGUGUGUGCCACCAUGUCCACCUAAUUUUUGUAGUUUUAGUAGAGAUGAGGUUUCACCAUAUUGAUCACGCUGGUCUCAAACUCCUGACAGGUGAUCCACCCACCUCGGCCUCCCGAAGUGCUGGGAUUACAGGCACGAGCCACCACCCCCAGCAGACAUACUUCAUUAUACAGUGCAAAAAAAGUCACAUUUUAAAAAUAUCACCACCGAGCUCACCAGGAUAGUCUUUACAUAUUCGGAAGCUGUCAAGUUCAUGGUAGCAGGUAUAAGAUUUUAAAAAUACUAAUUUUUGCUUAAAAGCUUGAAUUUUAUCACUUAUAACCCACAGGGGUCAUGGGCCACACUUUGAGAAUCACUGGCGUUAGAGGUUUGGUUGGAGAGACGCCAAGUAAGAGAACAUUUCCCUAACAUGCCCAAACACAUUCCUUUUCAGAGUGCUGAAGGAAUUUGAAAAUGAGGUCUCAGAAUUACCAGCAGUAAUUCCUGAUAAAUUAAGAAAAAUGGGAGAGAGUUCAGAGACAAAGACAUGAGAAAAGAUUGCCGUAACUCUCCAGAAGGAUGGAUUCUGGGUAAUGAAGGCCAGUAUGUUUAACACUGAUUCCCAGAAAAAGACUUUAAAUAUAUUCAGUAGCAGGUAGUUUAAGAACAUUAGAAGAUAAUUCGGUGAUUACCAGAUGUCAAUGAGGGCUAGGUAGGUCAUUUCAAAGCCUUCUCAAAUUUCAUUUUUUCUUUAUGAUCACCUGUCACAGUGCUUUACGUGAUGUACAUACAAAAAUGUUUGCGUAACUGUAUAAAACAGUUGAAUAAUAACUGUAUAGCAUAUUGCUUAUAUAAACUGCACAAAUCUCAUUUGAAUAAAAACCAUUUAUAAAGUACUUACAGUAUGCAAAAUAUGUUGGGCAAAGGGCAGGUCUGAGAGGCACACAUGAGGAAAACUAAAACAGAACAGAGGCCUAAUGGUAUUUUCAAGUGUUAUAAAAUAUGUGAAGUCUGCCUUGUGAGAGAAGGUAGCAUUGGCUUGUGGAAAGAGCAUAGCACAGGAAAUUAGAACAUCUGAUUGCUCAUCCUGGCUUUUCCAUCAACUUAAUGAAUGACCCGGAGUAAGUUACUUCACUUCGAGACCUAUGCUCUAUAUCUGCAAUAUUGAAAAUGCUGGAUAAGAUAAUCUCUAAAGCCCCAGAAAAAGAUGGAGUUGUACUCUUUCACUCCCAGGAACAUAUACUGGAACUUAUGAGUAGAACUUUGGAGAGACCAAGUUUGCCUCACAAUGAGUAAUAUUCUAGUUCUGCACUGUUGUAUAGUGACUCCAGUCACUAAGCUACAUGUCUCUAAGGAGCACUUGAAAUGUGACUGGUUCAAAGUGAGAUUUGCUGUACACAAGCAGAGACUGGGUCAUAGUUCUGACAAGAGGACCUCACAGAAGACUCCAUUUGGUGUGCAUUUGAUCUAAAUUUGUGUUCUCAAUCUGUGCUCAGAUGAAAGCUUGGGCUCCAGCAGCACCCAGAUUUGUCAUAGGGGAAGGAGGAGGAGGACAAAGAAGUCUUUCUGUCUUCCCUUCCUCUUUCAAACCGAGAGCUGAUCAGUAUGUAUUACUGAAUAAAUGAAUGAGUGUACAAAAUA
This is a long non-coding RNA of Gorilla gorilla gorilla (western lowland gorilla), 1707 nucleotides long. RefSeq lists it as uncharacterized. NCBI's taxonomy places the organism in Eukaryota, Metazoa, Chordata, Mammalia, Primates, Hominidae. The record is from RefSeq and is a predicted model, not a curated record. The transcript has 2 exons.